UCGAGAAUCUUCGGCAAUGGGCGCAAGCCUGACCGAGCGACGCCGCGUGUGCGAUGAAGGCCUUCGGGUUGUAAAGCACUGUCGAGGGGGAGAAAGCCGCAAGGUUGAUCGACCCCUGGAGGAAGCACGGGCUAAGUUCGUGCCAGCAGCCGCGGUAAGACGAACCGUGCGAACGUUAUUCGGAAUCACUGGGCUUAAAGGGCGCGUAGGCGGGCUGCCAAGUCAGAGGUGAAAUCCUGCGGCUCAACCGCAGAAGUGCCCCUGAUACUGGCGGUCUCGAGGGGGGUAGGGGCAUGUGGAACUUCCGGUGGAGCGGUGAAAUGCGUAGAUAUCGGAAGGAACGCCGGUGGCGAAAGCGACGUGCUGGACCCCUUCUGACGCUGAGGCGCGAAAGCCAGGGGAGCGAACGG
RNAcentral lists this ribosomal RNA (410 nucleotides) under uncultured bacterium. Its description in RNAcentral is "bacterial SSU rRNA". It matches the Rfam family "Bacterial small subunit ribosomal RNA", at positions 355 to 775 of the family's 1533-position model. The record is from RNAcentral.